GUGCUCGCUUCAGCAGCACAUAUACUAAAAUUGGAACGAUACAGAGAAAAUUAGCAUGGCCCCUGCGCAAGGAUGACACGCAAAUUUGUGAAGCGUUCCAUAUUUUU
RNAcentral lists this small nuclear RNA (107 nucleotides) under Cervus elaphus hippelaphus. Lineage: Eukaryota; Metazoa; Chordata; Mammalia; Artiodactyla; Cervidae. RNAcentral also lists the same sequence under 1 other name. The record is from RNAcentral.